ACCCUACGGAGUGCUCAGGUCCGCCGCAUCUCCUGGGUCCGUGGGGUUUGGCUGGCCGGUGGGCGGUUUGAGUGGCCUCCUCGUAAACGCCGUCCGCCGGCCGGCCACC
This 109-nucleotide small RNA is filed under the name marine sediment metagenome. Its description in RNAcentral is "EcpR1". It matches the Rfam family "EcpR1". Rfam says of the family: Perviously named SmelC291, SmrC10, or Sra33. According to its overproduction phenotype it was renamed Elongated Cell Phenotype RNA1. The record is from RNAcentral. RNAcentral also lists the same sequence under 1 other name.